GAGGGUACAAGUCAGUGGUAGAGUGCAUGCUUAUCAUGCAUGAGGUACUGGGUUCAACCCUCAGUACCUCCA
Molecule: transfer RNA, 72 nt
Filed under: Camelus bactrianus (Bactrian camel)
Lineage: Eukaryota; Metazoa; Chordata; Mammalia; Artiodactyla; Camelidae
Also listed under: 2 other names
Rfam family: tRNA
About the family: Transfer RNA (tRNA) molecules are approximately 80 nucleotides in length. Their secondary structure includes four short double-helical elements and three loops (D, anti-codon, and T loops).
Source: Rfam by way of RNAcentral